Mustela putorius furo (domestic ferret) is the source of this 75-nucleotide small nucleolar RNA. The record is from Ensembl. NCBI's taxonomy places the organism in Eukaryota, Metazoa, Chordata, Mammalia, Carnivora, Mustelidae.
UGGACCUGUGAUGACCGAUGGUGGCGUAUGAGUCCUUUGCGAUGAAUGCUACGUGUCUGGAAGUCUGAGGUCCAA